UGCUAUCAAUGUCAGGAAGUCUUUCAUCACUUGAAGUGUUCUGGAAUUCUACCUGUUGUGUUUUGGGAUCCAUAAACUAGUAGCAAGCCUCAUAUCCAUGAAUAGUUUCAUUUAUUUUCUGACAUUGGAUUAAGAUACCCAGAUAUAAUAGCAAGUGUAACUGAAUUAGCGGGGAGUUAUAUAGAGGGCUUACAUAGAAAUGUUGUUUUUGUCAAUGUGAUAUUAUUAUUCUGAUCAAACUGUUGAAUUGUAUCAUGAAUAGACGUGAAAUAUAAAUAUAUACCUAACAUAAUGUUCAUAAAUUUGUUACUUAUAGUAAAUAUUUCAAUAUUUACUGUGUUAACCGGGCACUGAAUUCACAUACUGAGUUCCAAGCUCCAGUUGCUUAACAUGGAAAGACUCUAUACAACGUUCCACUGAGAGUGUUAUCGACUCUAAAGUUAAUUUUUAAAUGUUAUUAAAAUGUUUAAUUCAUAAAGACAACCACAAUGGAUAUAUUGGUAUUCCCGGUAUCACGUGUGUCCAUUUUAGGAAUAAUAUGUUUAUUAACACAAGUUAUAACAGAAAGUGUUGAAAAGUUUACAAAUAAAUCGUUUAUCAACCCAGUCUUCCUACCAUCAGUAACUAAUAUCACUGUUAAAAGAGGGUCGUUGGCUGUUUUACCCUGUUCUAUACAAUACCUACAAGAUAAACAAGUGGUGUGGAGGUUUGUAGAUGAAGAUAAGUUUUUAACGAUUGGUAAAAAGACUUGGUUUAAAAGUGAUAAAAUUAUAUUAGAACAUUUAUCCCAAGAUGAUAAUAUUACUAAUUGGGAUUUAUUAAUUAAAAAUACUGAAUUUAUAAAUGGUGGCAUGUACGAGUGUCAGAUAACAUCAACUGUUGAUUUAACUAAAAGAGUUCAACUUAAUGUGUUAGAAACUACUAUAAAAGGUGAUAGAUCUAUAGAUCGCGGUGAAAGAAUUUAUUUUGUUUGUAACGUGACGGGGGGCCCCCAUAUACCUACAGAUAUCACGUGGUAUAAAGAUGGACAUCCAAUAACAAGUAGGGAAUUCCCCCAUGCUGUAAUAACUAAGUAUAGAUCUAACGUUAAUAAUUCUAGUAUAACAGAAUUUAUAGUAGACAGAAGUGUUUUCUCUGAUACUGGUGUUUAUACAUGUAAAAGUAAAACAGUGGAAGCAGUUGAAACUCAAAUAUUACUUCAAAUAGGUGAUACAGUCCACGUUAAAAGAAUUCCAGUGUUUGAAGAUUUAAAGGAAGAAAAAAGAGAAGAGCUUUCUCCGGUUUAUAGUUCUGGUUCACUACAGACGACCAGUUCCAGCAAUAACACUUCAAUGUCAGUUGUCAUCAAGUUCGUGUUUAUAAUGCUAACCUUAAUAAACCGAUGAACUGCCCGCAAGAUGCAGUUCUAUCUAUGUUAACCCCAAGAUGUGCCCGUCAAAAUACUCUAUUAGGAAAAAUUAUUAAACAAAUGGACAUGCUCAAGAUGCAAUUCUAAUGAUGCAAACUAGGACGUUAGGACGUGCCCAUGGAUAUACUUUAUUAGGGACAAUUAAUAAUAUGCGCGGGUGUGUUAUUAAGAUAACUUGGUAGUGAGAAUACUGGGUUAUUCUGUAUUUCAAAAUGUGGAAUGUGUUUCUAAGGACGGUGGUUCACCGCGAGCGUGUUAACUGUUUAUCCAAGUGUGUAGCUCUACAAAUUUCGGAAUUGAAUUAUAAAUUAUUGUGUUUCAAGUUAACUUAUUUCGUGGUAUGCCUAAAAAGAGAUUACAAACUCUUGUGACUCAAUAUGAACGUCGAUCACCAACUUAACCACCUGUGCUCAAUUUGCUUUGGCGAGACAUUAACUUAAAUGUGAAUGGAUGAUGUAUUUAUUUACAAUGUUGCUUUUUCAAACUAUUAUUAAAUUAUAUUCGGCGAAAUCUGUGAUAUCUACUUAUAUGUUAAAGUAAUAAUACAACACUUUACGGUUGCAUAAUUGGAUUUUAAUUUGGUUUAAAAAUAAAUAUUCUGUAUUUAUGUUUAAUCUGCAGUAAGACAGAAAACUGAAUUACUCAUUGUUUUAUCACUUUGAACAUUACUCAUUGUUUUAUCACUUUGUACAUUUCUCAUUGUUUUAUCACUCUGUACAUUUCUCAUUGUGUGAUCAUUUUGUACAUAUUUCAUUGUUUUAUCACUCUGUACAUAAGUCAUUGUUUUAUCACUUUGUACAUUACUCAUUGAAAUUUCGUUUCAAAUUUCUCCGAGGUUUAACGAUUUUAUCAUCGUUUCUUUUUUUAUCGACUUCCGUGAUUGGAAAUUGAAUAUCAGAAUGCAGGCAUUGAUAUAAACGAAUGUCGUUCGCGAGGCAGGGCGUGCUUACUAUUUUUGGAACCACUACUAAAUUGUCAGUGUACUUUGGUGUACUUUGACAUGCAUUGAUUGGUAAUACCGUAUUUUUCUCUUGGAAAUAAUUCAAGACAUGCAGAAUUAACUAAAUCAGUGUUGACUUUCUUAUUCUCGAGAUUAAAGUAUUCAACAAC
Molecule: long non-coding RNA, 2518 nt
Organism: Patella vulgata (common limpet)
Lineage: Eukaryota; Metazoa; Mollusca; Gastropoda; Patellidae
Exons: 8
Source: RefSeq, a predicted model, not a curated record